CACGUAGGGUGCGAGCGUUGUCCGGAAUUAUUGGGCGUAAAGAGCUCGUAGGUGGUUCGGUAAGUCGGGUGUUAAACCCCCAGGCUCAACCUGGGGACGCCACUCGAUACUGCUGUGACUUGAGUCCGGUAGGGGAGCGUGGAAUUCCUGGUGUAGCGGUGAAAUGCGCAGAUAUCAGGAGGAACACCAGCGGCGAAGGCGGCGCUCUGGGCCGGUACUGACACUGAGGAGCGAAAGCGUGGGUAGCAAACAGG
RNAcentral lists this ribosomal RNA (254 nucleotides) under uncultured bacterium. RNAcentral describes it as "partial 16S ribosomal RNA". It matches the Rfam family "Bacterial small subunit ribosomal RNA", at positions 524 to 776 of the family's 1533-position model. The record is from RNAcentral.